AGAGUUUGAUCCUGGCUCAGAACGAACGUUAGCGGCGCGCUUAACACAUGCAAGUCGAGCGAGAAAGGGGCAACCCCGGUAAAGCGGCGCACGGGUGAGUAACACGUAGGUAAUCUACCCCCGGGUGGUGGAUAACCUUCCGAAAGGAAGGCUAAUACAGCAUGGGACCACGGCUUCGAAAGGAGCUGGGGUGAAAGUCGGCCUCUUCACGAAAGCCGACGCCCAGGGAUGAGCCUGCGGCCCAUCAGCUAGUUGGUAGGGUAAUGGCCUACCAAGGCGAAGACGGGUAGCUGGUCCGAGAGGAUGAUCAGCCACACUGGAACUGAGACACGGCCAGACUCCUACGGGAGGCAGCAGUGGGGAAUCUUGCGCAAUGGGCGAAAGCCUGACGCAGCGACGCCGCGUGAGUGAUGAAGGCCUUCGGGUUGUAAAGCUCUGUGGAGGGGGACGAAUAAGCCGUCGGUCAAUAUCCGGCGUGAUGACGGUACCCCUUUAGCAAGCACCGGCUAACUCUGUGCCAGCAGCCGCGGUA
Molecule: ribosomal RNA, 532 nt
Filed under: uncultured Pseudomonadota bacterium
Lineage: Bacteria; Pseudomonadati; Pseudomonadota
Description: bacterial SSU rRNA
Rfam family: Bacterial small subunit ribosomal RNA
Source: RNAcentral